UACGGAGGGUGCAAGCGUUAUUCGGAAUUAUUGGGCGUAAAGGGCGCGCAGGCGGUCAUGUAAGUCAGAUGUGAAAGCCCGGGGCUCAACCCCGGAAGUGCAUUUGAUACUGCAUGACUUGAGUAUGGGAGGGGGAAGUGGAAUUCCUGGUGUAGAGGUGAAAUUCGUAGAUAUCAGGAGGAACACCAGUGGCGAAGGCGACUUCCUGGACCAAUACUGACGCUGAGGCGCGAAGGCGUGGGGAGCAAACAGG
RNAcentral lists this ribosomal RNA (253 nucleotides) under uncultured bacterium. RNAcentral's name for it is "partial 16S ribosomal RNA". It matches the Rfam family "Bacterial small subunit ribosomal RNA", at positions 524 to 776 of the family's 1533-position model. The record is from RNAcentral.